CCUACGGGAGGCAGCAGUGAGGAAUAUUGGUCAAUGGGCGCGAGCCUGAACCAGCCAAGUAGCGUGAAGGAUGACUGCCCUACGGGUUGUAAACUUCUUUUAUAAAGGAAUAAAGUGAGGCACGUGUGCCUUUUUGUAUGUACUUUAUGAAUAAGGAUCGGCUAACUCCGUGCCAGCAGCCGCGGUAAUACGGAGGAUCCGAGCGUUGUCCGGAUUUAUUGGGUUUAAAGGGAGCGUAGAUGGGUUGUUAAGUCAGUUGUGAAAGUUUGCGGCUCAACCGUAAAAUUGCAAUUGAUACUGGCAGACUUGAGUACAGUUGAGGUAGGCGGAAUUCGCGGUGUAGCGGUGAAAUGCUUAGAUAUCACGAAGAACUCUGAUUGCGAAGGCAGGUUACUAAACAGUAACUGACACUGAUGCACGAAAGUGUGGGUAGCAAAAAGGAUUAGAUACCCCUGUAGUC
RNAcentral lists this ribosomal RNA (460 nucleotides) under uncultured bacterium. Its description in RNAcentral is "partial 16S ribosomal RNA". It matches the Rfam family "Bacterial small subunit ribosomal RNA", at positions 338 to 795 of the family's 1533-position model. The record is from RNAcentral.